Molecule: non-coding RNA, 73 nt
Organism: Nematostella vectensis (starlet sea anemone)
Lineage: Eukaryota; Metazoa; Cnidaria; Anthozoa; Actiniaria; Edwardsiidae
Source: Rfam
GCCUCUGUAGCUCAGUGGUUAGAGCACUGGUCUUGUAAACCAGGGGCCGAGAGUUCGCGUCUCUCCAGAGGCU